Small nuclear RNA from Dama dama (fallow deer), 111 nucleotides. Lineage: Eukaryota; Metazoa; Chordata; Mammalia; Artiodactyla; Cervidae. The record is from RefSeq and is a predicted model, not a curated record.
GUACAUAUACCCCAUGGAAGCACAUAUACUAAAAUUGGAACGAUACAGAGAAGAUUAGCAUGGCCCCUGCACAAGGAUGACACGCAAAUUCGUGAAGCGUUCCAUAUAUAU